This 674-nucleotide ribosomal RNA is filed under the name uncultured Micromonas. Its description in RNAcentral is "partial Bacterial small subunit ribosomal RNA". It matches the Rfam family "Bacterial small subunit ribosomal RNA", at positions 147 to 814 of the family's 1533-position model. The record is from RNAcentral. Lineage: Eukaryota; Viridiplantae; Chlorophyta; Mamiellophyceae; Mamiellales.
CGUCUCGAAAGGGACGCUAAUACCGCAUACGUCCUACGGGAGAAAGCAGGGGACCUUCGGGCCUUGCGCUAUCAGAUGAGCCUAGGUCGGAUUAGCUAGUUGGUGAGGUAAUGGCUCACCAAGGCGACGAUCCGUAACUGGUCUGAGAGGAUGAUCAGUCACACUGGAACUGAGACACGGUCCAGACUCCUACGGGAGGCAGCAGUGGGGAAUAUUGGACAAUGGGCGCAAGCCUGAUCCAGCCAUGCCGCGUGUGUGAAGAAGGCCUUUUGGUUGUAAAGCACUUUAAGCGAGGAGGAGGCUACUUGGAUUAAUACUCUAGGAUAGUGGACGUUACUCGCAGAAUAAGCACCGGCUAACUCUGUGCCAGCAGCCGCGGUAAUACAGAGGGGGCAAGUGUUAUUCGGAAUAAUUGGGCGUAAAUGGCGUGUAGGUUGUACUUCGCUGUUAUCGGUUAAAUCCCCAUCGAUAUGGUGGGUAAGGCUGAUAGAACGGUUGUACUAGAGAGUGAGAGAGGAUACGGGAAUUUCGAGUGGAGAAGUUAAAUUCUUAGAUAUUCGAAGGAAGGCCAACUGCGAAGGCACAUAUCUGGCUCAUUUCUGACACUGAGGCGCGAAGGCGUGGGGAGCGAAGCCGAUUAGAUACCGGCGUAGUCCACGCAGUCAACGAUGCUG